Molecule: ribosomal RNA, 301 nt
Filed under: uncultured bacterium
Lineage: Bacteria
Description: partial 16S ribosomal RNA
Rfam family: Bacterial small subunit ribosomal RNA
Source: RNAcentral
CAGCCGCCGCGGGAAUACGUAGGUGGCAAGCGUUGUCCGGAAUUAUUGGGCGUAAAGGGCUCGCAGGCGGUUUCUUAAGUCUGAUGUGAAAGCCCCCGGCUCAAUCGGGGAGGGUCAUUGGAAACUGGGAAACUUGAGUGCAGAAGAGGAGAGUGGAAUUCCACGUGUAGCGGUGAAAUGCGUAGAGAUGUGGAGGAACACCAGUGGCGAAGGCGACUCUCUGGUCUGUAACUGACGCUGAGGAGCGAAAGCGUGGGGAGCGAACAGGAUUAGAUACCCCCGUAGUCCCUGUCUCUUAUAC